AGGGUAUUAUAAUGACAGUAGAUGGUAGACCAGGGUAAUAUAAUGACAGUAGAUGGCAGACCAGGGUAAUAUAAUGACAGUAGAGUUUAGACCAGGGUAAUGUAAUGACAGGGGAUGGUAGACCAGGGUAAUAUAAUGACAGUAGAUGGUAGAAUAGGGUAAUAUAAUGACAGUAGAGUUUAGACCAAGGUAAUAUAAUAACAGGGGAUGGUAGACCAGGGUAAUAUAAUGACAGUAGAUGGUAGACCAGGGUAAUAUAAUGACAGUAGACGGUAGACCAGGGUAAUAUAAUGACAGGGGAUGGUAGACCAGGGUAAUAUAAUGACAGUAGAUGGCAGACCAGGG
Long non-coding RNA from Oncorhynchus tshawytscha (Chinook salmon), 345 nucleotides. Lineage: Eukaryota; Metazoa; Chordata; Actinopteri; Salmoniformes; Salmonidae. The record is from Ensembl.